This is a long non-coding RNA of Megalobrama amblycephala (Wuchang bream), 802 nucleotides long. RefSeq lists it as uncharacterized. The record is from RefSeq and is a predicted model, not a curated record. NCBI's taxonomy places the organism in Eukaryota, Metazoa, Chordata, Actinopteri, Cypriniformes, Xenocyprididae. The transcript is spliced from 4 exons.
GCAUCUGAUGCAUGAGGAACGAGACGCUCGACUUUCCUCAGAGGAAUGUCAUGCGUUAUGAUUCACAGAAACAUUGCUCAUUCCUUGUGUCACGUUUCUUUCUAAAACUUUCAUACAUGCCAUGAAGUGAUUCUAUAAAAUGCCACAAAGCGUCACGUUGGUUUGAGGAAUGAAACGGCAGUAUGUAAAUGAUCUCUUUGCAUUAUCAUUAACAGUUCAUGACAUGAAGUCACAGGUGCAGGAGGUUUGAAUACAGAAUAGCAAAAGUUACCGUACCAUUCUGAGCGGGCGACAACGCUUCUCCAGUUAAACCUCCAUGUCAACUCUCUCUGAAGUCCCUUCUGAAGCAACACGGACACCUCAGGGGAAACGGGAAAUGCCACAGCGCAUCUCUGAAACCCGAUCCGCGCGGACGAUGGCGAGAGUUGUGCUGCCCGAGGCGACCGGUCGUGUUGGUUUGUCAGCGCUGCCGUGACUGUCCUUGGCCCCGUGACAAAUUCACAUUACAAAAAGAAAAAUCAAACAGGUUUGGAAUGAUAUGAUGGAGCCACUUAUUGUCGGGAACCAUUUUGGCUGAAUAUAUGUGACGAAUUUGUUCCAAGAUGCUGGGCUCCUGCGACCGUACAUUGGAGAAGUGGAAUAGAGAACGAAUGGAUGGAUGGAUUCUGGCAGUAUGAGGUUCUUGAUGUGCUACACUUACUGUUCAAAAGUUUUUGAAAGAAAUUGAUACUUUUUUCUUCAUCAAGGGUGCAUUAAAUUGAUCAAAAGUGUCAGGAACAACAUUUAUAUUGUUACAAAACUA